Molecule: long non-coding RNA, 200 nt
Filed under: Elaeis guineensis (African oil palm)
Lineage: Eukaryota; Viridiplantae; Streptophyta; Magnoliopsida; Arecales; Arecaceae
Description: long non-coding RNA (EGUI_LNC058502)
Source: RNAcentral
CUAGGUAGAAGAUUUGAGCUGACCUUUCAUGUCACACCUCGUCAAAGAAGUGUAGCGACAAAUAUUAUCUAAAAUAUCUAAUUGAUAUAGUUAUUAUUUACUGGGCUAUGGAGCUCAUGAUUUCUCUUUUAUUUUUAGAUUCUGAUACUUAGUUGCGGACAGAGGUGUUACUUGAGAGUGAGACUAGAAGCAAGAUCUGG